Molecule: ribosomal RNA, 253 nt
Filed under: uncultured bacterium
Lineage: Bacteria
Description: partial 16S ribosomal RNA
Rfam family: Bacterial small subunit ribosomal RNA
Source: RNAcentral
CACGUAGGGCGCAAGCGUUGUCCGGAAUUAUUGGGCGUAAAGAGCUCGUAGGCGGUCUGUUGCGUCCGCUGUGAAAUCUCGGGGCUUAACCCCGAGCCUGCAGUGGAUACGGGCAGACUAGAGGUAGGUAGGGGAGAAUGGAAUUCCCGGUGUAGCGGUGAAAUGCGCAGAUAUCGGGAGGAACACCGGUGGCGAAGGCGGAUCUCUGGGCCGAUACUGACGCUGAGGAGCGAAAGCGUGGGGAGCGAACAGG